RNAcentral lists this ribosomal RNA (301 nucleotides) under uncultured bacterium. RNAcentral describes it as "partial 16S ribosomal RNA". It matches the Rfam family "Bacterial small subunit ribosomal RNA", at positions 509 to 807 of the family's 1533-position model. The record is from RNAcentral.
CAGUCGCCACGGUAAUACGAAGGGUGCAAGCGUUAAUCGGAAUUACUGGGCGUAAAGCGCGCGUAGGUGGUUUGGUAAGAUGGAUGUGAAAUCCCCGGGCUCAACCUGGGAACUGCAUCCAUAACUGCCUGACUAGAGUACGGUAGAGGGUGGUGGAAUUUCCUGUGUAGCGGUGAAAUGCGUAGAUAUAGGAAGGAACACCAGUGGCGAAGGCGACCACCUGGACUGAUACUGACACUGAGGUGCGAAAGCGUGGGGAGCAAACAGGAUUAGAUACCCCGGUAGUCCCUGUCUCUUAUAC